UAUUCUGCCCAUGCGGGAAGGAUGAGAAGCUUCGACCAAGGUUCGAUUCGAGCGUAGCGAGAAAGCGUUGCCGCAGGCAACGACCCGAAGGGCGAAGCGCGCAGCGCUGAGUCAUCCUUCCCCCACUACCA
RNAcentral lists this small RNA (131 nucleotides) under Citrobacter freundii. RNAcentral's name for it is "RtT sRNA". It matches the Rfam family "RtT RNA". Rfam says of the family: This family represents a bacterial cis-regulatory element known as RtT RNA. The exact function of RtT is unknown although it is thought that it may be involved in changing the cellular response in relation to amino acid starvation. The record is from RNAcentral. Lineage: Bacteria; Pseudomonadati; Pseudomonadota; Gammaproteobacteria; Enterobacterales; Enterobacteriaceae.